GCUGGGCAUGAUGGCACAUGCCUGUAGUCCCAGCUACCUGGGAGGCUGAGGCAGGAGGAUCACCUCAGCCCAGGAGGUAGGGCCUGCAGUGAGCUGUGAUCGUGCUACUGCACUCCAGCCUGGGCAACAGAGUGAGAUCCUGUCUCAA
Molecule: non-coding RNA, 148 nt
Organism: Pan troglodytes (chimpanzee)
Lineage: Eukaryota; Metazoa; Chordata; Mammalia; Primates; Hominidae
Rfam family: Metazoan signal recognition particle RNA
About the family: The signal recognition particle (SRP) is a universally conserved ribonucleoprotein. It is involved in the co-translational targeting of proteins to membranes. The eukaryotic SRP consists of a 300-nucleotide 7S RNA and six proteins: SRPs 72, 68, 54, 19, 14, and 9.
Source: Rfam